RNAcentral lists this non-coding RNA (30 nucleotides) under Rattus norvegicus (Norway rat). Lineage: Eukaryota; Metazoa; Chordata; Mammalia; Rodentia; Muridae. The record is from RNAcentral.
UGACAGCAGCUACUAAAAAUGUAAAGGUUC